RNAcentral lists this ribosomal RNA (251 nucleotides) under uncultured prokaryote. RNAcentral's name for it is "partial 16S ribosomal RNA". It matches the Rfam family "Bacterial small subunit ribosomal RNA", at positions 525 to 775 of the family's 1533-position model. The record is from RNAcentral.
ACAGAGGGUGCAAGCGUUAAUCGGAUUUACUGGGCGUAAAGCGCGCGUAGGCGGCUAAUUAAGUCAAAUGUGAAAUCCCCGAGCUUAACUUGGGAAUUGCAUUCGAUACUGGUUAGCUAGAGUGUGGGAGAGGAUGGUAGAAUUCCAGGUGUAGCGGUGAAAUGCGUAGAGAUCUGGAGGAAUACCGAUGGCGAAGGCAGCCAUCUGGCCUAACACUGACGCUGAGGUGCGAAAGCAUGGGGAGCAAACAG